Non-coding RNA from Ceratotherium simum simum (southern white rhinoceros), 82 nucleotides. Lineage: Eukaryota; Metazoa; Chordata; Mammalia; Perissodactyla; Rhinocerotidae. The record is from RefSeq and is a predicted model, not a curated record.
UCACUUCGUGGAAUACAGCCAACUCAACUAAUAAGGCUGUGAUGAGCAACUCUACUUUUUCUCUACACGUGUCACAUGUACC